GACCUCAACAGCUAGCCCACCUAAAAAAUUCAACAAACAACAUUAAUUAACCCAAUAUUUACUUUUAACCCAAGAAUAAAUCAUUCUUCCCCCUUAGUAUGGGAGACAGAAAAG
RNAcentral lists this ribosomal RNA (114 nucleotides) under Istigobius campbelli (Campbell's goby). Its description in RNAcentral is "partial 16S rRNA". Lineage: Eukaryota; Metazoa; Chordata; Actinopteri; Gobiiformes; Gobiidae. The record is from RNAcentral.